UGGGGAAUAUUGGACAAUGGGCGCAAGCCUGAUCCAGCCAUGCCGCGUGAGUGACGAAGGUCUUCGGAUUGUAAAGCUCUUUUCUGUGUGACGAGAACGGACGGUAGCACAGGAAUAAGUCUCGGCUAACUACGUGCCAGCAGCCGCGGUAAAACGUAGGAGACAAACGUUAUCCGGAGUUACUGGGCGUAAAGGGCGUGCAGGCGGCAGUCUAAGUCUGGCGUGAAAUAUCCCGGCUCAACCGGGGAAGGUCGUCGGAUACUGGGCAGCUAGAGGACGGUAGAGGCGUGUGGAAUUCCGGGUGUAGUGGUGAAAUGCGUAGAGAUCCGGAGGAACACCAGUGGCGAAGGCGACACGCUGGGCCGUACCUGACGCUAAGACGCGACAGCAUGGGGAGCAAACAGGAUUAGAUACCCGCGUAGUCCCUGAGCGGGCUGGCAAGGCGCAU
RNAcentral lists this ribosomal RNA (448 nucleotides) under uncultured bacterium. Its description in RNAcentral is "bacterial SSU rRNA". It matches the Rfam family "Bacterial small subunit ribosomal RNA", at positions 355 to 825 of the family's 1533-position model. The record is from RNAcentral.